RNAcentral lists this ribosomal RNA (305 nucleotides) under uncultured bacterium. Its description in RNAcentral is "bacterial SSU rRNA". It matches the Rfam family "Bacterial small subunit ribosomal RNA", at positions 337 to 659 of the family's 1533-position model. The record is from RNAcentral.
GCCUACGGGGGGCAGCAGUGGGGGAUAUUGGACAAUGGGGGAAACCCUGAUCCAGCGAUGCCGCGUGAGGGAAGAAGGUUUUCGGAUUGUAAACCUCUGUGGAGGGGGACGAUAAUGACGGUACCCCUUUAGGAAGCCACGGCUAACUACGUGCCAGCAGCCGCGGUAAUACGUAUGGAGCAAGCGUUAUCCGGAUUUACUGGGUGUAAGGGGAGCGCAGACGGCAGGGCAAGUCUGAUGUGAAAGUCCGGGGCUCAACCCCGGGACUGCAUUGGAAACUGUCCGGCUAGAGUGCAGGAGAGGUA